Molecule: ribosomal RNA, 468 nt
Filed under: uncultured bacterium
Lineage: Bacteria
Description: partial 16S ribosomal RNA
Rfam family: Bacterial small subunit ribosomal RNA
Source: RNAcentral
GACGAACGCUGGCGGCGUGCUUAACACAUGCAAGUCGAACGGAAAGGCCCUGCUUUUGUGGGGUGCUCGAGUGGCGAACGGGUGAGUAACACGUGAGUAACCUGCCCUUGACUUUGGGAUAACUUCAGGAAACUGGGGCUAUUACCGGGUAGAAGCUCCUGCUGCACGUGGGGGGUUGGUAAGUUUCGGCGGUUGGGGAUGGACUCGCGGCUUAUCAGCUUGUUGGUGGGGUAGUGGCUUACCAGGGCUUUGACGGGUAGCCGGCCUGAGAGGGUGACCGGCCACAAUGGGACUGAGGUACGGCGCAGACUCCUACGGGAGGCAGCAGGGGGGAAUAUUGCACAAUGGGCGGAAGCCUGAUGCAGAAACGCCGCGUGCGGGAUGACGGCCUUCGGGUUGGAAACCGCUUUCGCCUGUGACGAAGCGUGAGUGACGGUAAUGGGUAAAGAAGCACCGGCUAACUACGUG